This 471-nucleotide ribosomal RNA is filed under the name uncultured bacterium. RNAcentral describes it as "bacterial SSU rRNA". It matches the Rfam family "Bacterial small subunit ribosomal RNA", at positions 29 to 506 of the family's 1533-position model. The record is from RNAcentral.
AUGAACGCUGGCGGCGUGCCUAAUACAUGCAAGUCGAGCGGUAAGGCUUCCACUCUGUACUUAAAUUUUUGAGUAUGGUGUGGAAGUACACGAGCGGCGGACGGCUGAGUAACGCGUAGGAACGUACCCCAUAGUGAGGGAUAAGCACCGGAAACGGUGUCUAAUACCGCAUAAUCUCUUCGGAGCAAAGCAGCAAUGCGCUUUGGGAACGGCCUGCGUAUGAUUAGCUUGUUGGCGAGGUAAAAGCUCACCAAGGCGACGAUCAUUAGCUGGUCUGAGAGGAUGAUCAGCCAGACUGGGACUGAGACACGGCCCAGACUCCUACGGGAGGCAGCAGUAGGGAAUUUUCCACAAUGGGCGAAAGCCUGAUGGAGCAACGCCGCGUGCAGGAUGAAGGCCUUCGGGUCGUAAACUGCUUUUAUAUGUGAAGAUUUUGACGGUAGCAUAUGAAUAAGGAUCGGCUAACUCCGU